AGUCCCGCCAGGCUGGGGACAAGGCACAGCAGCGUCCUCUCGGCCUCUCCCAGGCCCCAAUUCGACACAACCAUUCCCCGUCCCCAGCCCCCGGACGAGGAGGGGGUGCAGCCCCUCCACCCCGCCCCGUCGCCGCCCCUAGCCCGACCUUUUUGUCCCAGAUUUGCAGAGGCUUGCUGCCGAUGCUGUAGAGGAUGGAGAGGAAGCCGCUCUGGAACGUGUUUUUGAACAUCUCGCCGGCGGCCUUCUCCUAAGCCGCCCCCGGAGCCGACCUAGGCCCCGGAGUAGAUACAGGCACCGAGCGUCGAGGGCACAGCAGCAGGCCGGCCCUGUUCCGAAGAAGGGUGGUUGAGCUCCUGGCCUCCGGAUCUGCAGCCACUGAUGGCCGGACUCGGACGCGGCAACGCUAAGUCCGCGAUCUUCAGCUCCUAAGCUGCGAGCUCAGAACGGAAACCACAGCAACUACCGUCCGCGCCGCGGUAUUUCCCCGCCUUCAAUGGAGGCGGAGGGCCGCCCGUUGCUUAAAAUGAAUCCCUCCGCCCAUCUGAGCCCGCCCCCCGGGAGCGCGGGGCCCAAUCCCGUUACAAGGACCACGGACUUCCGUUUCGUUCCGCCUGUAAGUCCCGCCUGGUCCCGCCUCCUCCUGAAAAGAGCUCAGUUGUCAAGGAACUAUUUUUCUUGCCGUCGUCCCAGAGAUGCCUUUGGAAAAGCGGAAGGGCACGGAGGGUUCUGGAGUUCGUUGCUGGCACCUGCGUGGUGUCAUGAGAACGUGGCGGGGCGAUUCACACUACAAGGAAUACUAAAGGACGUUCUCCACAUUGAAGGAAAAUGAUCUAAAGAGAAACAGAUCUGUAAGAAGAAAUGAAGAGCACUGGUAAAGCCUAGCUUCACCUUCUGCAAUGUGUGGAAACAGACUGAGGUCCUCACCAGAAGCAAAUGCUAGCACCAUGCUUCUUGGAGACCCUGCAGAACUGUCCAGCAUAGCAAGUGGGUGGUGAGAUGCCGGCAGUGGAAUUCUAGAAGCAGUGCCUCCCAGAACAGCACUACAGUACUGAGGAAGGACUAUGCACCUGGGAAGCUGUCACACACACAAAAUCAUUUCAUGAAAACUUUCUUUGGGUAAAGGAAGGGUUCCACUGCGUAGUAUUUGAUUUGAGAAGGGCUGCAUGGUGCAUGAGGUUAAGAAAGAAAUGACUAUAUUUGCCUUUAAACACUUCAGCUGAUUCCAAGCACCCAACUUCAGAGGCUCAGUGAGAAGAAAGCACACUAAUUAAAGAAAGCACAUUAAUUAAAGAUACCACCACCUGCCAAAUAAUAGCAUGUGCUGCAAGGAAUGGGGCUAGGGAGAGUGUUUCACAAAUGCAGAGCACCAGGCCACAAGGUUAAAGUCAUGCACUAAAACAGUCAAUCCCAAGAGGCAGGUGUCUGAGUGGCGCGACUCAGAAGCAAGUACAUAAAAACGGAACACUCCCAACAGGACACCACUCUAGCCCCACUUCUGCCAAAGGAAAGUUUUCACAUCAAGGUGUAACACACAUCUUUGCAAUUCAAGGUUUAUCCCUCCCCUCUCCCCCAAAGAGACAGGAAAUACAAGUUAAGGUCCUCAUAGCAAUGGUUUGUCUCCCACUUGGGAAGGCUGGUUAUUGUCAACAUUUUUAUUUAAGAAAACAGGAUUUAACAUGGCAUUUUUCUUCCCUCUAAGGGCAGCAGCACAUAAAUCAUACAUCAGUCAUCCAGUGAUACAAAGAGGUGGCCAAUUGUGUCUGAAGUAGUCACUUGUAAAGGAUCACAACCCAGGCAGUGUUGCUUUUCUGCAAACAGAAGGAAACAGAAGGCUCCAUGGUCCUUGAAGAUUAUCCAAGUUUUCCACUAGUUGUCAAGAUUUCUGUCCCAACCUCUUAGUCACCAUUUACAGCAAGAAGAGCCAGCAAGUGAAAAACUGUUAAUUUAUUGAUUCAAAGUUGUUUUUUUUCUUUUUAAAAAACAAUCCCCAAUACAUGCAGUUCAGGGUUAAGUAUCACAUUUGUAGCACAUUGUUGAGUCUCAAAACAAAAAUAUGCAUCACCUGUAUAAUCCCAUCACAUCUUUUUCCAGCCUCUACAAUACCUAGUUGGGGGUGUUUUCAUUUAUACAUCCACAUAGCUCAGAAGCAUGUUAUUAACGGUUGAUCUGGCCCGAUGCUUCUCCGCCACCUCCCCUGCCCUGGUCUCCACCUCGGGGUUAUUUUUUUCUAAAGGCAGGAUGUUACUCAGUCUUAAUUUAUUAAGAUCACUGACAAACUUUGGCUUCUUGUGUGCUCAUGUGGUCCCUGCUUUUGCUUUCGGAAGGGUUUAUAUUGAAACGACUGUGACUCUGAUCGGUUAUUAUCCCCUCAUUUUUUGUAGGAAAUAAGUUUGCUUGUUUCUGUGGGUGCUCACACAGUAACACAGGUUCCUAAAGUAACCAUUUAAUCUGAACUGGUAUUAAAGGAAACUGUUAACCAGG
This 2484-nucleotide long non-coding RNA is filed under the name Homo sapiens (human). RNAcentral describes it as "uncharacterized LOC101927556, transcript variant 4 (LOC101927556)". The record is from RNAcentral. Lineage: Eukaryota; Metazoa; Chordata; Mammalia; Primates; Hominidae.